UUCUUGGUGGUCCAACGGCUAAGACACGCGCCUGUCAUUUCGGUAAUUCCCGAACGGGAACUUCCGACGGACGCGCGUAACCCGGGUUCGACUCCCGGCCAGGAAG
Exidia glandulosa HHB12029 is the source of this 106-nucleotide transfer RNA. It matches the Rfam family "tRNA". From Rfam's summary of the family: Transfer RNA (tRNA) molecules are approximately 80 nucleotides in length. Their secondary structure includes four short double-helical elements and three loops (D, anti-codon, and T loops). Lineage: Eukaryota; Fungi; Basidiomycota; Agaricomycetes; Auriculariales; Exidiaceae. The record is from Rfam.